GAUCCUGGCUCAGAUUGAACGCUGGCGGCAUGCUUUACACAUGCAAGUCGAACGGCAGCGCGGGCUUCGGCCUGGCGGCGAGUGGCGAACGGGUGAGUAAUACAUCGGAACGUGCCCAGUAGUGGGGGAUAGCUCGGCGAAAGCCGGAUUAAUACCGCAUACGACCUGAGGGUGAAAGCGGGGGAUCUUCGGACCUCGCGCUAUUGGAGCGGCCGAUGGCAGAUUAGCUAGUUGGUGGGGUAAAGGCCUACCAAGGCGACGAUCUGUAGCUGGUCUGAGAGGACGACCAGCCACACUGGGACUGAGACACGGCCCAGACUCCUACGGGAGGCAGCAGUGGGGAAUUUUGGACAAUGGGCGAAAGCCUGAUCCAGCAAUGCCGCGUGUGUGAUGAAGGCCUUCGGGUUGUAAAGCACUUUUGGCGGGAACGAAAGGGACUGUGCCAAUACCACGGUUCGAUGACGGUACCCGCAGAAUAAGCACCGGCUAACUAC
RNAcentral lists this ribosomal RNA (494 nucleotides) under uncultured bacterium. RNAcentral describes it as "bacterial SSU rRNA". It matches the Rfam family "Bacterial small subunit ribosomal RNA", at positions 15 to 504 of the family's 1533-position model. The record is from RNAcentral.